GGAUCCGUGGCGCAAUGGUAGCGUGUCUGACUCCAGAUCAGAAGGUUGCGUGUUCGAUUCAUGUCGGGUUCA
This 72-nucleotide transfer RNA is filed under the name Ipomoea nil (Japanese morning glory). It matches the Rfam family "tRNA". From Rfam's summary of the family: Transfer RNA (tRNA) molecules are approximately 80 nucleotides in length. Their secondary structure includes four short double-helical elements and three loops (D, anti-codon, and T loops). The record is from Rfam by way of RNAcentral. Lineage: Eukaryota; Viridiplantae; Streptophyta; Magnoliopsida; Solanales; Convolvulaceae.